GACGAACGCUGGCGGCGUGCCUAAUACAUGCAAGUAGAACGCACAGUUUAUACCGUAGCUUGCUCCACCAUAGACUGUGAGUUGCGAACGGGUGAGUAACGCGUAGGUAACCUGCCUGGUAGCGGGGGAUAACUAUUGGAAACGAUAGCUAAUACCGCAUAAUAUUAAUUAUUGCAUGAUAAUUAAUUGAAAGGUGCAAUUGCACCACUACCAGAUGGACCUGCGUUGUAUUAGCUAGUAGGUGAGGUAACGGCUCACCUAGGCGACGAUACAUAGCCGACCUGAGAGGGUGAUCGGCCACACUGGGACUGAGACACGGCCCAGACUCCUACGGGAGGCAGCAGUAGGGAAUCUUCGGCAAUGGAAGAAAGUCUGACCGAGCAACGCCGCGUGAGUGAAGAAGGUUUUCGGAUCGUAAAGCUCUGUUGUAAGAGAAGAACGGGUGUGAGAGUGGAAAGUUCACACUGUGACGGUAUCUUACCAGAAAGGGACGGCUAACUACGUG
Molecule: ribosomal RNA, 505 nt
Filed under: uncultured bacterium
Lineage: Bacteria
Description: partial 16S ribosomal RNA
Rfam family: Bacterial small subunit ribosomal RNA
Source: RNAcentral